AUAACUCUCCUGUGCCAGGAAAUAAUAAAACCAAAUAGACUAAAGAAGACCGACAUGAACAGGUGUUUAGAACUUUGUUUCGAGUAAAGUGGGGAACCUUUUGAAGUCAAUCGACUAACAGAGUUGUGUAGACAUC
Etheostoma cragini (Arkansas darter) is the source of this 136-nucleotide long non-coding RNA. RefSeq lists it as uncharacterized. NCBI's taxonomy places the organism in Eukaryota, Metazoa, Chordata, Actinopteri, Perciformes, Percidae. The record is from RefSeq and is a predicted model, not a curated record. The transcript is spliced from 3 exons.